RNAcentral lists this ribosomal RNA (253 nucleotides) under uncultured bacterium. Its description in RNAcentral is "partial 16S ribosomal RNA". It matches the Rfam family "Bacterial small subunit ribosomal RNA", at positions 524 to 776 of the family's 1533-position model. The record is from RNAcentral.
UACGUAGGUGGCGAGCGUUGUUCGGAAUUACUGGGCGUAAAGUGUGCGCAGGCGGCUUCGCAAGUCGAGUGUGAAAUCCCCGAGCUUAACUUGGGAAUUGCGCUCGAAACUACGGAGCUGGAGUGUGGCAGAGGAAGGUGGAAUUCCACGUGUAGCGGUGAAAUGCGUAGAGAUGUGGAGGAACACCGAUGGCGAAGGCAGCCUUCUGGGCCAACACUGACGCUCAUGCACGAAAGCGUGGGGAGCAAACAGG